This 526-nucleotide long non-coding RNA is filed under the name Vigna radiata. Its description in RNAcentral is "long non-coding RNA (VRAD_LNC009331)". The record is from RNAcentral. Lineage: Eukaryota; Viridiplantae; Streptophyta; Magnoliopsida; Fabales; Fabaceae.
AUAGCAAUUGUAUUAUGAACAGAAAAAGUUGUCUGUAUUGGAUGCUUGCUCUUUGUAUCGUUUAGUUACUUAGCAGUUAUCAUAGAGAGGAGUGGUCACACUAGUUUAUAUGUACUUCUCUGUCUCUUUAUUCAUACACUUUUUCCUCCUUUCCUUUCAUUUUUCUUCACCUUUUUCAUCGUUUCCAUGAAUCAUCAAAUUUUCAAUAUUUUUCGCCAACGACAUGCCACAGUGGAAUACUCACUUGGACUAGAUACAAUUCUGCUUUUGCCUUUAACAAUUUCCAUCAACUUCCUACGAUUCUUUCCCCUAAAAACCCUACUGCAGGACCUCCACAAAACCUAUUUUUACUUCUCAUUUUAAUGUAUUUUUCUUUUCUUUUUUUUUUUUAAAAAAAAAUGCUUUAACACAUUUCUUAAUAACCAAUAUGAUAUCGAAGAAAGUGUUAGCAUUUAUAUCCAUGGUUUUGAAAGGUUAUUAUAAAAAUAAAAAAUUCAACAAUUUAACGUGUUUUGUCUAAUCUAAA